This 720-nucleotide long non-coding RNA is filed under the name Elaeis guineensis (African oil palm). RNAcentral describes it as "long non-coding RNA (EGUI_LNC025880)". Lineage: Eukaryota; Viridiplantae; Streptophyta; Magnoliopsida; Arecales; Arecaceae. The record is from RNAcentral.
UUGAAUUAAUCUUAUCAAAUAAAAAAUUCAAGUACAAAGAGAAAAUUGGGUUCAACCAUGUGCUAGCAAGGUUAUUCUGAACGCAAUAAGGUUUCUCUAAAUCCAAUUGAGACUUCGUAAGUCCAAUUGCUUAUUCCAGUUAUAAUUCUUUUGUUGUGUGACUCCAUAGGUUCAAUUCUAUCUAGUAGUGAGAAUACAAUGAUCUUUAUUAUAGUAUCAUUGCAAUUUUUUUCAAUGGAUCGGAAUAAUUCCACUCUAACUCAUCAAGAAUUAUCGAUUCUGAGCAAUCCUAGUGAGCUCUUAUAAUCCAUCAGUGACACCUAGCAGUAUGUAGUGGCAACCUAGUAGAACCGAAAAAGAACCUUAAGGUCUACUUCAAAUGUGAUUCAGUCUCUCUAUCGUGAGUUUCGACUAAAUGGUAGGUCAUAGAUAAAUCGUCAAAUCUUAUCAUCNNNNNNNNNNNNNNNNNNNNUUUUCCAUCAAUCACACUACUGUGGUCACGGACUCUUGGACUUAGCCUCUCAAUAGGACUACUCUCUAUCAAAGUCGAUAGAUUCUAUCUAGAUACGCACUCUACUCCUACAGUGGAUCAACUGCUACCAGAUUCUACUACAAGAUCUCAAUGCGGCCAUGUUUAUGUGUUAGUCAAAUUUCAGCAGCCUUAUUGCGAGCAGUCGUAUCAUCAUAGGUCAAAAGAUCAUUCACGAACUACAGCAUCAA